This 253-nucleotide ribosomal RNA is filed under the name uncultured bacterium. Its description in RNAcentral is "partial 16S ribosomal RNA". It matches the Rfam family "Bacterial small subunit ribosomal RNA", at positions 524 to 776 of the family's 1533-position model. The record is from RNAcentral.
UACGGAGGGGGCAAGCGUUAUUCGGGAUUAUUGGGCGUAAAGGGCGCGUAGGCGGCUAGAUGUGUCAAAGGUGAAAUCCCUCGGCUCAACUGAGGAACUGCCUUUGAAACUGUCUGGCUUGAGGCCGGGAGAGGGUAGCGGAAUUCCCAGUGUAGCGGUGAAAUGCGUAGAUAUUGGGAGGAACACCAGUGGCGAAGGCGGCUACCUGGACCGGUUCUGACGCUGAGGUGCGAAAGCGUGGGUAGCAAACAGG